GAGAGAGGCAGCUCAGACUUAGCCUUGUCUGGCUACUAGCCACCAGCUGGAAUGUAGAAACAGGUACCUGUCCAAGGAGUUUGCAUUUCAUCCUCACAGCUAUGGAAGAGACUGAAUUCGUUUAUUUUUCCUUUUGGAUUCCCAGCUCUGUUUCCUGGCCUGCCUAGCGUUUGGAGCAGCCAUGUGACUGAUUUCCAGGUUUCAACAUCACCUCUGACACCUAUUCUGAACUAUGGUCACCUGGAACCUUGUGGCCACUGAGGGCAAGAGACUUUUACUGCCCACUACCCCAAAGACAUCAUGUUAGCUGGGCCACUCCAUUAGUGCCAUCACAGUGAAGGAGGGCACUGUGCUCUGCACCCUCCACCAGAAGAGACACAUGUUGGAGGCAACAGCUAUGACAUUUGUGUGUGCUGCAGAGUCCCAUUGCACAGGUGAAUGAAAAGCCAUCAGGUCUGAGUGAACUCAGAGCAUGAGAGGGCUCCUCUGCUGAUCUGGCACCGUUGACUUUGUCCUGCAGCCUUGAAGACCUAGCAGAUCUAAUCAUUCUCCCAGGGUCUGGGGGAGAGAUCAGGGUGUUGAAUGAAGCGUACAGCAAGACCCAUGAAGGAUUCACAAGUUGGUUUUAUUGUGCAUGCCUGUCAUACUUUGCCAAAGCCACCAUCUGGGGACUUAGUAGGGACCUUAUAAAUGGUCAUGGUAUCUUGCACAACAUUGCUCCUAACCAAAGAGCCCAAGUAAGAUAAUGGGCUACAGCCCAUUGAGAGUCACUGGUCUCAUUAUAUAGCCAACACCCAGAAGCAGCUGGCCUUAUAAACAGUAGAAUGGCUUAUUAAACUUCAGGUAUGCCUCCGGCUGGUUAGGUAAACGUUCUCAAUAUGGAGUGCUGCCUGGUAGGUUGAGAAUAUUCUUUGAACCAGCGUGAUACAUGAUAACUAUUCCUCCUUUAGCCAGAAUACAUGAGUCAGGAAAUAAAGUAGUAGAAGUAGGGAUGGCGCAGCUCACAGAUACCCAGUGACAGUGACCUCCUUCUAAAAUGUUUGCUUCAUGUCUCCCUUGUAUAGAAAAUGUAAUACCCAAUAAAG
Molecule: long non-coding RNA, 1085 nt
Organism: Myotis myotis
Lineage: Eukaryota; Metazoa; Chordata; Mammalia; Chiroptera; Vespertilionidae
Exons: 3
Source: RefSeq, a predicted model, not a curated record